This is a non-coding RNA of Lactuca sativa (garden lettuce), 433 nucleotides long. NCBI's taxonomy places the organism in Eukaryota, Viridiplantae, Streptophyta, Magnoliopsida, Asterales, Asteraceae. The record is from RefSeq and is a predicted model, not a curated record.
CAAGUCUUCAUGUCGAUAACCAUUCAUUGAUUAGAUCUCUAUUUCAUCCUAGGAGCACAUGCGAUUUUUGAAAACGUCAACAUAUUGUUGGAUAACCGACGAUUCUAAGGUGUCCCUAAUGGUAGUCAUACUCUAAGGUGAUCUAAUGUAUUACCAUGAGCCCCCAUAAUCGACGUUGUUUGACUAACAAUUGUGCCCGCCACGACGCUUCAUCAGACGUUGAAGAGUGAAUAAUAAGAAAGUUAUCAUGUUGGGAUUGUAGCUAGCAAUCGCAGGUAUCUGAGGAAUGCUGAAUUUAAUCAAGGCCUUUGGAUGAAUUAACAGGUCGCUAAUGCAUUGACCUGAUGUAUUUAUCUUUUUAUCUUUUAUCUUAAUCCUUCUUAGGGAUCUCGUAUAACUAUCAAAAUAUAAAUCUUUUAUCUUAUAUUUGAUA